AAGUCGUAACAAGGUUUCCGUAGGUGAACCUGCGGAAGGAUCAUUACAAAUGUCUGGGAUGUCCAAUCGGACCCCCCAAGCAAAUACAUCCUUGUGUACUCUUCCAUGUUGCUUUCCCAGACCAGUGGCCACUGCUGCCAGCCCAGCCCAUAAUCGGUUCCUGGGUUGAGGUGUCUGGGGAAGGGCUCACUAUCAAACUUUGAAAACCAAUUAGUUGUCUGAGAAGGCCACCUGCCGUAAUUUUUAAAACAUGUUAAAACUUUCAACAACGGAUCUCUUGGCUCUCGCAUCGAUGAAGAACGCAGCGAAAUGCGAUAAGUAAUGUGAAUUGCAGAAUUCAGUGAAUCAUCGAAUCUUUGAACGCACAUUGCGCCCUUUGGUAUUCCUUAGGGCAUGCCUGUUCGAGCGUCACUAAAAACCCCCUCACAGAUAAUGUGNUAUUGGUAGAAGUGAACGGUACUUGCAUUACCUUUUCUCACUCUGCUGAAAUGAAUAGGCCAGAGAAGUGGACCCAUGGUAAUUGACUCCAGGAGUGUUUUNCAAUGCUAAACUAGUCUUUACCNAAGUCAGGUUCUGAGCUACUGGACCCCCAUUUAGUCCGAAACAGAGUGGUUGACCUCGGAUCAGGUAGGGAUACCNGCUGAACUUAAGCAUAUCAAUAAGCGGAGGAAAAGAAACCAACAGGGAUUGCCUUAGUAACGGCGAGUGAAGCGNCAAAAGCUCAAAUUUGAAAUCUGACACUUCUGGUGUCCGAGUUGUACUUUGGAGAGGCAUCUUCUGGAGGGGCCCAGCCUAUGUGCCUUGGAACAGGACGUCAUAGAGGGUGAGAAUCCCGUCCUUGGCUGGAUGAUCCCUCCUGUAUGUAGUGUCUUCUACGAGUCGAGUUGUUUGGGAAUGCAGCUCAAAAUGGGUGGUAAAUUUCAUCUAAAGCUAAAUAUUGGCGAGAGACCGAUAGCGCACAAGUAGAGUGAUCGAAAGAUGAAAAGCACUUUGAAAAUAGAGUCAAACAGUACGUGAAAUUGUUGAAAGGGAAGCGCUUGAGAUCAGAGUCGGCCUUUGGCAAACGACUGUCCCUUCUGGGUGGUGCACUUGUCAUUGGUUGGGCCAGCAUCGGUUGGGACGGCAGGAUAAAGGCCAGGGGAAUGUGACUCCUCUAUGGAGUGUUAUAGCCCCAGGCGGCAUGCUGUCAGCCCCGACCGUGGACCGCGCCUUGGCUCGGAUGCUGGCUUAAUGGUCUUCAGCGACC
RNAcentral lists this ribosomal RNA (1246 nucleotides) under uncultured fungus. RNAcentral describes it as "eukaryotic LSU rRNA". The stretch from base 614 to 1246 matches the Rfam family "Eukaryotic large subunit ribosomal RNA", at positions 1 to 649 of the family's 3401-position model. Lineage: Eukaryota; Fungi. The record is from RNAcentral.